UGAGAGAUACAUUGAUCGUUGCCUCUCACAUUCCCCUAAUUGGGGACCUGGCCUGCAACUCCACUGAGCCCCACCAACCAGGACUUAACACACGUCCUAACAAGCCAGGAUGGAGAACUCUUUCCUUGUGGGCUCUAGAGUCGGGGAACUACAAUACCCAGAAGAACCAGCGCCGAGCGAACCAAUGAAAGAUCAGCGUGUAUGCAUAUCCGUGAUUUCUGCGUUUGGAGUGGGACUGCUAGGAGCGGGACUGACUUCUCAACGUGCUGAGGCGCUGGGUCGAGGUAAGUGCGCGUCCCCUGGGCACUGCCCCCGCAGCCCACGGAGCCCUGCAACCAGAGUUCGGGCGUCUGUCACGCGCUGCAGCCCCCGCCCUGGCGUCCGGGACACGAGGGGGCCGAGUGGAUACAGGUGUGUUGUGGCUACUGAGAGGACAGCAAGUACAGUGCACAGUGGACCAGGGUUAUUUGUAACUGGAAUGUACAUGCCCUUCUGGGUGCCUAAUUAAUGAAAUGAAGGUCUGAGGCAGGCAGGGAGAACUGAGGAGUCUCAUUGGGCUUUCCCGGGCUGUGGGACCCGUCAGAGGAUGGCGCUGUGCUGGAUAGUAUUUGAGUCUCUCGAGCACUCUGUCUGGGUGCCAUGGGCCACACACCGGCUUAGUGGAGAGAGAUGCCUGUCAUGCAGAGCAGGGCGGUCGCAGAACUGUGGGAACCAAAGAUGUUAGAAAGUAGCAUGUACAAGUGGUGUGCACACGGUAGGUCAUGUGAGCUGAUGGCCCCAAGGCCCUGGUGGGACCAGGUGAAGGAGCCCACCUUUGCUGAGUCUAGCAGGUACAGUCUGGGAGACCCCUGCAGGGAAUUGCUCUGCAGGGGGCAUGGGGUCCUGCAGGUAUGGCCCACAGCUUGGGUGAGGUCCGUGUGUCCCCACUGUCUGUUGCUGAGGGCUGAACACAGUCAUUAGGGGGCUGUAAGAGGUGAGCAGACAUCUCUGUCACCAGGGCCUGGUGUCUGAUUAGGAGAGCCCUGGAGGAGGAUGAGCAGGGGGGAAGGAUCUAUGAGGUGGACUAUGAGGUUCUCAGAAAGACAGUUUGUGGUUCCCUCUGUCCGCAUCUUGACAGGCCAGUGUGACCUUUGAGGACAUUUCUGUACUAUUCUCCUGGGAGGAAUGGAGUCUCCUUGACGAGGCUCAGAGACACCUAUACCACGAUGUGAUGAUGCUAGAGAACCUGGCACUUAACAUCCUCUCUGGGUAGGACUCUGAGUCUGUAAAAUGGUGGCUGCUGUGGACCAGAGGAUGUAGAAGCCCCCUUUGAACAGAAUGUUUCUGUUGGAGUGUCACAGGCCAACACCUCCAGGGCAUCUCUGUCUUCCCUGAAGGCUCACUUCUGUCAGACUUGUGGUCCAGUCUUGAGAGACCUAUUCCAGUUGGCUGAGCACUGAGGAACACCACACAG
Molecule: long non-coding RNA, 1453 nt
Organism: Phyllostomus discolor (pale spear-nosed bat)
Lineage: Eukaryota; Metazoa; Chordata; Mammalia; Chiroptera; Phyllostomidae
Exons: 2
Source: RefSeq, a predicted model, not a curated record